CGGGGUGCACCAGGCGCGAAAACUUUACAAUGCCGGCAACGGCGAUAAGGGAACCUCGAGUGCCAGGUUACAAAUCUGGCUGUCGUGAUGCCUAAAAAGCAUUGCAUAGCAAGGGCCGGGCAAGACCGGUGCCAGCCGCCGCGGUAACACCGGCGGCUCGAGUGGUAACCGUUAUUAUUGGGUCUAAAGGGUCUGUAGCCGGCCGGGUAAGUCUCUUGGGAAAUCUGGCAGCUUAACUGUCAGGCUUUCAGGAGAUACUGCCUGGCUCGAGGCCGGGAGAGGUGAGAGGUACUUCAGGGGUAGGGGUGAAAUCUUGUAAUCCUUGAAGGACCACCAGUGGCGAAGGCGUCUCACCAGAACGGACCUGACGGCAAGGGACGAAAGCUAGGGGCACGAACCGGAUUAGAUACCCGGGUAGUCCUAGCCGUAAACGAUACUCGCUAGGUGUCGGCCACGGUGCGACCGUGGUCGGUGCCGUAGGGAAGCCGUGAAGCGAGCCACCUGGGAAGUACGGCCGCAAGGCUGAAACUUAAAGGAAUUGGCGGGGGAGC
This 551-nucleotide ribosomal RNA is filed under the name uncultured archaeon. Its description in RNAcentral is "bacterial SSU rRNA". It matches the Rfam family "Archaeal small subunit ribosomal RNA", at positions 326 to 877 of the family's 1478-position model. The record is from RNAcentral.